GGUUCCAUGGUCUAGUGGUUAGGACAUUGGACUCUGAAUCCAGUAACCCGAGUUCAAGCCUCGGUGGGACCU
RNAcentral lists this transfer RNA (72 nucleotides) under Triticum aestivum (bread wheat). RNAcentral describes it as "tRNA-Gln (CTG) (tRNA-Gln-CTG-7-1, tRNA-Gln-CTG-8-1)". It matches the Rfam family "tRNA". Rfam says of the family: Transfer RNA (tRNA) molecules are approximately 80 nucleotides in length. Their secondary structure includes four short double-helical elements and three loops (D, anti-codon, and T loops). Further hydrogen bonds mediate the characteristic L-shaped molecular structure. tRNAs have two regions of fundamental functional importance: the anti-codon, which is responsible for specific mRNA codon recognition, and the 3' end, to which the tRNAs corresponding amino acid is attached (by aminoacyl-tRNA synthetases). tRNAs cope with the degeneracy of the genetic code in two manners: having more than one tRNA (with a specific anti-codon) for a particular amino acid; and 'wobble' base-pairing, i.e. permitting non-standard base-pairing at the 3rd anti-codon position. Lineage: Eukaryota; Viridiplantae; Streptophyta; Magnoliopsida; Poales; Poaceae. RNAcentral also lists the same sequence under 2 other names. The record is from Rfam by way of RNAcentral.